Molecule: long non-coding RNA, 460 nt
Organism: Carya illinoinensis
Lineage: Eukaryota; Viridiplantae; Streptophyta; Magnoliopsida; Fagales; Juglandaceae
Exons: 3
Source: RefSeq, a predicted model, not a curated record
UUUUCUUCCCAACCCGUGGGUUCUAAGCGAAGCAAGAACUCGUUUCCUUUUUCCUUCAAGCCUCACCAAUGCCUUCUCCUUCUUCCUCUCUUCUUCUUCUUUCAUCUUCCAACUCAAGAAAAACUAAAAUUCUCUCCAUUAUUCAAGCCGUGCGACCUCCAAGGGAAAGAAAGAAAUUGUUUUCUCCUUUCCCAAACCAUGCCAUACACUCAUUCUAUACCCAUUUCGGGCUGUUCAUAGUUCGGAAUUCGAAAUUUGUUUUCAUCUUCUAAAAGGCGAAAAAUUGAAGGACCUAUGUUUACUUUGGAAGUAUUGAGGAGUAUCAAGAUUGCAAUGCUGGGUAAGUAGUACUGGUGGUGCACCCAGUGCUGCACCCUGAUGGAAAAGGAUUCCUAACUCGCGGACACGGGUGGAAUCAGGUUCAAAAGACCACUAACCCCAACACAUGGGGCGCAAUAGU